CAGGUUUCGGCCAUAACGUAACGUUCGUGAGACGCGUAGGUUCGCUUCAGAUCGCCGUUGGUCAUACAAAAAUCUUCUUUAAGAAGCCAUCUCUUAACUAACUGCAUAUUUUCAAGCAAAUAAACACCCCUUUCGGUGGAAAACAGUGUAUUUAGAUUUUUUGCGGUGAAGUAAAUUGGUUUCUGGGUCAAAUUCGUUCGAGGAUUGUCGAGCGUUUCCUCGCAUUUUUCAUCACUUUGGUGCAGUUGGAUCAAGUCAGUGACGGUUUGAUCAUGAAGGUGGAGGCAAGCCCCAGUGUGAAGCUCAUCUUUGAUCAGAAAGCUCCAUUAGCUCGCAGCUCCUCUUGCUCCAGCAGCAGCAGUGACAGCUCCACCUCCAGCAGCAGAGGGAGCCAUUCCUCCGGCAGGUCACGGAGGUCAUCACGGGGGCGUCGCAGAUCACCAUCCUCAUCGUCUUCUUCCUCACGCUCCCGUUCUCGCUCCCGUUCUCGCUCUCACCCACGCUGCCACCGGGUUUCCAGCCACUCACGCUGCCGCCACUGCCACUAUUCUCCCCCACGCCGUUACCGUGCUCACUCCCGCUCCUACAGCCCGUCCCCAGAACGAUCAUCUGGUCGCAGACGCUAUCGACAGCGCAGUCGCUCCAGCUCCCGCAGUCGCUCUCCAAGUCCCUACGGCUACUCCCGCCGGUCAUCCCGCUCUCCUGUCCAUCGGAGGGGUGGUAGAUUUGUGGGUAGGAAUCGGUGCCGGUUUUCCCCCUCGCCCUACAGGUACAGAUCUCACAGGAGCCGCUCCCGGAGCCAGGAACGCACUGCCAUCCGUCUCAGUCAAGCAGAGAAAAAGUAUCUAUUGGAUGUUGCUAAAACAAAUGCUGCAAGGAUUCUGGGAGUGCAAAACUUGGAGCUGCCAGCGAGCUUGAAAGAGUUGGAGGAGCAAGAAGAGAAGAGAUCUUCAUCAGUUCAAGAGAAAAGGUUCAGAGAUGACUCAAAACCAGCACAGGUGAGACUCGCACAUGCACCUGGCUGCCAUCAGAUCUCCAGAACUUGACAUGAAUGCAGGUUAAAGUUGAAUUAUAUUUGCAUGAACAUCUUGAGCUCUAUACAUUGUUCCAGUUAAUUUGUAGAAUACAGUUCUCACCUAUCCAUUAAGUGGAAUCUGGGGACGUUGACUAACUCAAUGAAACGCAACUUAAGUAUGAAUGCGUCCAAUUUGGGUUACAUGUAAUCUGUCUCCUCAGACGUGAAUGAUUUUGCCUGAUGGAUUUAAUGGAAUGAUGAACAGCUCGUAUCCGGAUUAGAGCUGAACUCCUUCACCCUUUGGACAAAGAGGGAAAGAGGGGGUGGUCACAUGACUUGAAAGACACCAACUUUAAGUCUUAAAUUCACAACUGCAAAGGUUAAGUAAAUGCCAUGUCAGUGGUAGAAUUGUGUUGAAAAACUGAAAAAACACUUUUAACAGUAAUAUAAAACCAAUGUUUCUGAUUCAUCCAGAAGAUCAGCCACUUCCAUACAAUACAUAUACUGUACAACUGUUAGAAUGGCAGGCAUGUUUGCUGAUGGUUGAACUGGUUUGUUUGAUAAUUUACCAGUUUUCCUCUG
Molecule: RNA transcript, 1597 nt
Organism: Triplophysa dalaica
Lineage: Eukaryota; Metazoa; Chordata; Actinopteri; Cypriniformes; Nemacheilidae
Gene: rsrp1
Gene name: arginine/serine-rich protein 1
Exons: 4
Source: RefSeq, a predicted model, not a curated record